CCCCCGGAAGCGGAGCGGGGGCCGAGCAGCUGACAGCAACAUGGCGGCGGCGGCCGGGCGGCGUGGCGGGGGCUUGGGGCGGCCCCCGGCGCCCGUGAGGGACGUGCCGCCCGCCGGGGAGCUGGUGCGGCCCUCGGUGACAGAGCUGUCCCAAGUGCGGACCAACAUCCUGUGCACCGUGCCCGGCUGCGGGAAGGUGCUGCCCAACAGCCCGGCCCUCAACAUGCACCUCAGCAAGGCGCACCCGCUCCAGGAUGGAAAACUUAAUGCACCAAUAAGGAAGGGUUUGAAAACUUCACAGAAAUUCUACUGCUGUCCUAUUGAAGGCUGCCCUAGAGGACCAAACAGACCAUUUUCCCAAUUUUCUCUUGUAAAACAGCACUUUAUGAAAAUGCAUGCUGAAAAGAAGCACAAAUGUGAUAAAUGUAGUAACUCCUAUGGCACAGAAUGGUAUUUGAAACGGCAUAUAGAGGUCUGUGGCAAGACUUUCCAGUGUACUUGUGGGUGCCCUUAUGCCAGCAGAACAGCACUGCUGUCUCACAUUUACAGAACUGGCCAUGAAAUUCCUGCAGAACACAGGGAUCCUCCUAGUAAGAAAAGGAAAAUGGAGUCCUCCGUUCAUAAUCAGCAGUUGGCAGAGAAAGCAAACGAAGCAUUCAGCAAUACACACAGUACUGCUCCUGGCACUCAGGAACUGGAGUCCUCUGAAGUGAAAGUAGCAGCCUCUCUUGAAGGCUCCUGCAGUUCUAACUUCACAAACCAAAUGCAGCCAAAAUGUGCACCAAAGAUGCUUUUACCCAAGCCCAAGGUGGCUUUGGUUAAACUUCCAGUGAUGCAGGUUGCUCACUUGCCUGUGUAUGUAUCUGCAACAGACUCUUCUGUCAAACCUGCUGUAGUGGCUGUUGAUAAUCGAGGUUCAGUUGUAAGUACUGUUCAUUUAUUGCCUCAGUCUAUAGGAAUCCUGAUUCCAGCCCUGGAGGCAGAAACACUUGUAUUUAAAGACAGUAUGCCUGUUUCAAAAGUGACAACUUCUGGUGAUCGCGAGCCAGUAAGUACUGGUGUACAAGUUGAAUUGGACAAGGUUACAUCAAAUAACCCAGGGCAAGAGCUGGGGAAUGUUUGUCACAAGAACAAAAUUUCUUCAAUAAAUAUACAGACUGACUUAUCUUAUAUCUCACAGAGCUUUGUACCAGCUGCAGCCUGGACUCCCAAUUCUUCUGUGUCCUCUUGUUCUCAGACAGAUCUGUCAUUCAGUUCCCAGGUUUCAUUGCCCAUCAGUGUACAGACACAGACACUGCUGCCUGCUUCCAAGCUGACUUCAUCCAUAGCUGCUCAGACUGAUGCUUUCAGUCAGGGCUGUUUUCCAACGUGUGGCAUUUCCAGAGAGACUCAAACCAGCAGGACACAGGACUGUAUUGAUGGAAGAGUACAGAUGGACCAGGCUGUAAUGUGCAGUGACAUUUUUGACAAUGUUCCUUCAUCAUAUAAUGUUUCUACUCACAUUGAAAUUCCAGAAAACAAUUUAAUGCCUGCAAAUAUAGAUCAGACCUUGCUGCAAAGAAGUAGUUGCAAGAGCCCGAAUCAGGAUACAGUUAAGUCUGAAUCCCUUAUCAGCUUCAAUACACAGACUAAUAUACUUCCACCUCAAAAUACAACAGAUAAUCAAACCCAGACAAUGGACCUGCUAAGUGAUCUGGAAAACAUUUUUUCAGGAAACAUGUCUGGCCAGACACUGGAUAAUCGUGGCCUUUUGUCUGAGACAAGUUCUAAUGCUGACACACAUCUUCCUUCUGCUCCAUCACAGAGCACAGGGAUAGACUUCGACAUUGAAGAGUUCUUUUCAGCAUCCAACAUCCAAACUCAGACUGAAGAGAGUGAGCUUGGUACCCUGAACUCUGAGCCAGUUUUGGAGUCACUGGACAUUGAAACUCAGACUGAUUUCUUAUUUUCAGAUAGUGCCACUCAAUCAUAUAACUGCCGAGGCAGUUCUAACUUCUUAGGUUUGGAGAUGUUUGAUACACAGACACAGACAGACUUGAAUUUCUUUUUGGACAGUACUACCCAUCUGCCUUUAGGAAGUAUUCUGAAACAGUCCAGUUUCUCAAUGAGCACUGACUCAUCUGAUACAGAAACCCAGACAGAAGUGUAUAUGGCUACUAAAAAUACACCUGCUCAGAAUAUUGAAAGCAAAGUCCAGCUCAGUAGUGCUGAGACCCAGACUAUGGAUAGCUGCUUUGAGAAUCUGGGGAGUUUAUUCCUUACCAGCAAUGAAACACAGACAGCAAUGGAUGACUUCCUUCUGGCUGACUUAGCCUGGAAUACAAUGGAGUCCCAGUUCAGUUCAGUAGAAACACAGACCUGUGAAGAGCUGUGCUCCUUGUUCCAGAGCUCUGACAAGCCCAGCCACUGAGUGCUAAUAUAACUGUUUCUUGUGGUUUGAAUUUAAUUUAUUGGGGUGGGAGAGAUGGCUUUACCAAUUGAUCCACUUUGCAUUAUUGAAUGUACUUGUCACAAGCAGUUGACCUAAGAGACUUUUCAUGCUGAAGGUACUCUAUUGAAUAUGUAACUUUACAUAAACUAUGUGUGUAUAAAUAGAGGGGAAAGGGGGGGCUGUAACAUGUUAAUGUACAUUUUGAACCUUAAAAAAUUAUGUGGUGCCUAUGUUCUUUCCUCAAACUUCUUUAUGAAGCUGUUACUGCUUUCAUCUAAGUGGAAGAACUUAUAAAGUUGUUCUCUGUAUCUCUCUCUCUAUUCCUGGCUUACAUGCAGGGUUCCAAUGUGCUGGACCAAAACCCUGACCUGUUCAGUUGAGAUGCUUCCCUGAACUUACGGGGGAGGAUUCUAUUAGUGUAAGCUACUUCUGUUUACUUUUUUUAGUAGCUUGUAUUUUAAAUCCGGCAUGAACAUAAUCAGCCGUAUUGUCUUCUUUUACUUUAUGCCUUCACAGCUCUUUCUCCUGCAUAAGCUGACAUUUUCCAAAUACCUGUCCAACACACUAGACACCUAGAGAUUCAUGAAUUGUUGAAAAUAUUUAUUGUUUUAAAAGUGUGUAGAAAGCAGUAUUUUUUUUUUCCCUGAGUGGCACUGAUGCUCUUUGAAGGGUAGGAAAAGAACAUGGAAUUCAUAAUUGUAGGGAAAAUUAGUAUGUUGUCCUUUUAGCUAGCAUAAUAAAUGGGACUAACAUUUUUAGAGUCUUCAGAAGGGAUUUGCUUAAAUUAUUUCUGUCUUGAAGAUGCAAAUGUUACAAUGUGUGUGCCUCAGAGACUGGAAUCAUUUGGUUUUGCUGAAAUUCUCCUAGCUUUACUGAGAUACAAGUUGAGAAAUGUUACAGUGGUUUACUACCUUAAGAGAAAUCUUUAAAAAUGGACAAUUAAAUUCCUUAAAACACUCACCUUGACUUCUGGUUUUGGACUUCCUGCUUCCAAAAACAGUUGGAAUCCAUACAGCAGAACUGGGAGAUGAGCUCACAGAAGCCCUUCCAGAACAGCUCUAUCUUGCUUUUGCACUUUGAUCUUCAGCCCUCAGUUCCUGCAGCUUUCACAGUUUCCCUGAGUAUAGUCAAACUCACACAAACUGAUUUUGCAGAGAAAAAGCAUAUGACCUGUUGGCACCUUUUUUUUAAUGUUUAGGUUGCCCCUCAUGCCACUGUUUGCAGUAUUUUUCAUUUACAUUAAGCCAGUUGUGAAUGUAUGUUGGAAUUUGGCCUUAAGUAAUUUUUAUCUCUUGCUAUAAUAUCUGUGAAAUGUAGGCCUCUGGUUUUGUACUGGACAGGUUUUAGUUUCUGUAACCUUAAAGGAAAACUCUGUGUGUCAAAUUCCUGGGUCUGUAACAGACUUUACUCCUCCGUUGUUAGAGGAGAGAUAUUGGCUGCAUAUUUACUGUGCAGCCCAGCAGCAAAUGUAUGUCCAAGCCUUAGGUUUUGAGGACUCCCUAUGCUUUGUGCUGCAUAUUCUCAGUUCAAGGAUGUGGGAGUUAAGUUACUCAUUCAUUGCAGCCAGCUUGUUUUUGUUGCAGAUGAGCAAUACCUUUCUUUUAUCCUUUUUUUUUUCUUUUGUCUUUUCCUAAUAUUUAUAUUGCUGUGGUGAGUGUCUUUACUGAAAUAAUCUCUUCAGAUUAAUCCUGAUACUCACAUUUUCCUCCUGAGACCCCAUCUGUGUUGCCUGGUCGAUUUUUCAACAUUUCUAGGUAUGAUUUCAGACACUUCCAGUCUGGCUGAAGAAACUGCAGAACGGAAUUUUGCAGUUCCUCAGGAGAAAGUCACUCUGCUGUGGGGAAUGUCCCCAGGUUUCACAAUGUCUGUUGAGUUCUCAUCUGUAGGGUGGGAUAUAUUUAAAAAAGGAAGGCCUCCCUUGUAAUUUUGUUUCUUGUGAAGAUGACUGACUCAUAUUUACUUGCCUACUUUGAGAGAUAAGAUAAAGAACGAAGUUGGGUUAAUUUAUUCUAUUGCAAUAUCUUUCUAGUAAUGUUGCAACUUCACAUUUUAAAGUGUUUUUUUUCCUCUGGCUGGAAUACCAGAGAAUGCUUCUUCAUACACUGAUUUCUGUGUUUCCCAUGUGCAAGUUGUCUGCACUGACAUGUGAAAGAGAGGCAGUCACUAUAAACCUGGUUUGGGAAAAGGGUAUUUUCCACAGCUGUAGAAGAUGUUUGUUACCUCUGAAUUUAGAAAGUCAGCCUUUACUCUGCAAGAGAAGCAAUCCUGGGUGCUGAGGAGCAGAAUUACUGAAGGGUUUGAAUUGUAGCCAUCUGAGAGACCAACAAGGUUUAAAGUACUUUGAAACUGAUUUAGAAAUUAGAGUGAUAAUUGCCAUGUUAUUGUGUAAGCCAAAGCUCUUAGCAUCAGGGACUGUCAGGAAAAGACCCAAAAGUUGUAUGGAUGAAAUCUUAUAAUGUAAUCAUUACCCAGUUAUUGCUCUUUUUAAUUAAAAGUCUUUCUGAGCUUUGCGUAUUUUAUUAGAACAUGCAAAUCACAAUCCUUUCACUCAUUCUAUUUAAAACAGUUUGGACUUUAAUUAGGUGAACACAGUACUACAACAUGAAGUCAUUUAUUGAAAGUGCAGUAUUAAGAAAUUAUUAAAUGUCUGCACUGUCUUAGGAAAGACGAAAUUCUGACCAAAAUUAACUUUUUUCUUCACUAUAUUGGUUCUCUAUGAAUUAUUCAUUUAAAAAACAGGAUCAUGCAUGUCUGGCAUAUGUCACUCAGUUUGGAUUUAUGAAGUACUUUUGUGAAAAUGUGAAGACUGAAGCCAGACUUCAUAGUUUGGUGAAUCCCACAGAAAACUUCAUGAAACCUGAUUUGAAACACUAUUGCUGAACAUUAUGAAUUCUUCACAUUUAACCAAAAAGGCUCUCUUGAAAAGAGAGCCUCUUGCAAAAGGCUGAUUUUCUAUUUUUACCUUUGUUAUAAAAUAAACUUCAGGCACAACCAUUUCUGGGUGGAACUAAAAUGAUACUUAUCUCCCUUUUUCUGCAGUUUGUCUCUGAUUUGAUUUUCAAGGCACUGUAUUGUAAGUAUUGGUCAGCAGUGGCUUACUAUCUCAUUCUUUUUUGUAUCCUCUAUUGCCAUUAGAGCUGCUAUACAGAAAGUAACAUCAGAGUCUCUGUAGCCUCUUAGCAGAAUCUUUUAUCUGGAAGUGAUGCUAAUGUUAUGUGUACUUACCCUUUGUGUUUCCUGCUUAAUUCUGUUAAGCUGUGAUUGCUGGAUCUUGAUCCUGACGCCUGUGUAACACUAUUAUAAAAUUGAAUUAGUACUUUUGUAGUUUCAUUUGUGCUUUUCUUUAAUGUAUAGAGUCAAACAAAGAAAACAGCAGAUUUGAGACUUGCGUUCUGUGAGAACAUAAGCAUAAACAAGCUGAAAAAUGAAAGGUCUGUCUUGUUACCUUCCAUAUUUGUUUGUCAGAAUGCUGAAAGUUUGUUUGACUGUAGAUGUUUCCUCUUCUUACAGCUUUAUUUGUGUCUGUUUCUGCUAAUACACCUGUAAAUACUUUUUGCUGUGGAUAGGGAGGGAGUCCUCCCCAAAACUUUGUGUUUGCCUAGAAAAACUGGUAGUUUUAAGUCAGAGUUUGCUAAUGCUACAUAUUCUUAGUUAUGUGAAGCUGCUUGAGUUUAGAAAAUUCUCAGUUCCAAAGGAUAUGAAAGCAUUAAAAAAUGUAUAUAUACUUGCAGCUGUAAAUUAAACAGCUGCAAAAGAAACCUUGUGAAACCUCGUUAAGUUUUGAACAACUUGUUCGAUGUCUGUAACUUAAUGUAUGUAACUAACUCCUUAGAAAUUUUUAUUUCAAGGCACAAUACACAGUUGGUUUUUUUUCUGUUGGAAACAAGAGGCUGAAUUUCCUUGUUAGUCAUAUGGACCCCAUUUGUGUAGGGGCAAGAGAACAAAGAACGAUGUCUGCCUUCCACUGUUCUGAGUCCUUAUGCUGCUAUGAUGUGAAUUGAUUUUUUUUUUUUGUGAGGCUGGGUAGAAAUGUAAGAGUUGGCAGGACUGGGGGCUUAGGGGGCUAGAGGGGGUUUAAUAGCCUUUUAAAUGUAAGGAAAUUUAAUAGAACUGAUACUGAAUCAUCAUAGGGUGCUCAACUUGCAAAAGAACAUGUUCCUGAAAUGGCAACUCGGAGGUGAACUAAAUGUGCUUGCCUUCAUCAUUAAGGUUGUACAGCUUCCUUUGCUUUAAUAUAUUUCUGAUGUGUGCUGAUUUUUUAAAUAUGAUCUUAAUGUACCAUUUGCUGUUCCAAAUACAUUCACACCAAACUGUUGAUACCAUUCUGAGCCUUGCAAGCUUUUUCAUUCCUGUUUGGUUUAAAGUGCUGCUAUGUCCUGGUAGGAUGGGCCUGCAGUAACCAGGCUGCCAUUGACAGCAGGAGCACUGUGAGGAUACGGCUGUUUAAUGGUAGCAAACAAGUGUGUGGUGCAAUCGUGCAUCUUCUGUUUCUUUUGUUGUUGUUUUUAUAAGAGUUGAUGUGAAUUUAAAUAUGUGCAAGAAGGACUUGCUGCUUAGAACAGGACUGAAUUCUCUUGUUUCAAGUGCCAUUGCUGUGCAAUGAACAGAACUCCGCGUUCAGCCCCGCGGUCAGGGUGAGGGAAUGUUUGUGUUUGUGUUUGUGUGACUCUUCACUGAAAACGUAACCAGACAGCCUGAAAUGGUGGAAACGCCUCAAGGACCUGCUGAGUUAAAUAACAGAAGUCCCUUUACUUGUGACCGUUUUUCAUAUGCUGGCUUUACAGUACCUGCAACAGCUAUAGAAUAUAGCUAUGGGAUAUAACAGAUGACUUGGGGUGGUGCCAGCUCUACAUUUCACAACAUCCAGUGCUUUACAUGCUUCAAGCACCUGCAUGCAGAGCUAGAUUGACAGUACCUCUAUCUACAGACAUUGCCAGUGCAUCUGUGAUAAAGCUAGCUCCCAUGCUUAGUGAUGAUCCCACCAUCUUCUGUUAGUUGGAGGAUAUAAAAUGCUGAUUUUUGUUGUUACCUGUAAGUCUUGCUUGUGUGAUUCAGAGGAGGUGAAUGAGCAGAAGCCUCGUGACUGAAGGUUCAUGUGCACUGUUCCCUCAGCUGCAGUCAUGAAUGAGUGAAGCAUUCCCUGGUGGACAGCAGGAGGCUGCUGUGUUCAGCCCCAUCAGUCUGAGGUAAGCAUUUGCAAACAGCAGCAUUCAGGUAUUUCCAGAGGGGAAAGGGAGGUAUUUACAGAGGGGAAGAUGUCAUAAAUAUCUAGAAACUAAAUUGCUGUUCCAAGCGUUUAAAAUCAUGGAACAGAUGUGUAAGAUCCUUCUGGGAGUAACAGCCCUAUUCCCAUCACAGGGAUGAUUCUGCUUUAGAUUAGGCUGUUGUUUCAGCCUUUCAUCAUGCAAAAUGGAUUUGACUUAUAGGCAGAAGUCAGCUACUUUGACAGACUGCACCUCUAGAAACUUUCACAAAUGGCAGACAGUCCAAAAGGCAGGAAAAACGUAACUCUUGAUUGAGAACAGACUGAGAAGGAAGUGACUUCACAGACAGGGAAGCCCCAUGUAUUUUCAAACUACUUUCUUGCCUGCUGUUGCUGAGAAUUUUGCUGGCAGUGAAAUUGUUCCUGACUGGUUUGGGUUUAGUUCCUGAAUAUCUUUCAUUUGAAGAAAGUUCAUGCUGGCAAGCUGAUUGUUUUCCAUCAGAACAAUGCAGUCAGAGGCUGAUUUUCUUUCUGGCUCCAGGGUUUGACAGUGAAUCAGUCCUUUGGAUGUUUGGACCUAAAACAAUAGGAGAAAAAUGUUGAUUUAACUUUCAGGUGUUCCAUCAUUGCAUUUUCACAUUGUUGUCAACAAUUCAUGUGUCUUGUUUUGGCACCUUGAAUGGAGGAAGCACUUCUGGCUGAUCCAGCCUGUAACUUUAUUUCCUUUCCUUGAACAGGAAUGGUGUUGUUCUUGAGAGAACUUAACACAAAAACAAGAAGCUGCUGUUUCCUCUGCUGGAAGAACCCAGUGUAUUCAAAGGCACAUAACUUGAUUAAGUUUAUGAU
Molecule: RNA transcript, 8480 nt
Organism: Passer domesticus (house sparrow)
Lineage: Eukaryota; Metazoa; Chordata; Aves; Passeriformes; Passeridae
Gene: ATMIN
Gene name: ATM interactor
Exons: 5
Source: RefSeq, a predicted model, not a curated record